GGUUAGCUGUGCUGGAUGGUGCUUGGGAAUGUGGGACCAAGGCUCUGGCAACCCCUCACCCUUCUUUGCCCGGUCAUCAAGAGACUGGGCCCCAGAGCAGCAGUGUAGGACACCUCCUGGGCUGGUUAUACUAUCUGUCCUAUGGACUUCAUUUCAAAAAGGAAUGUCAGACACAUGAACUUUCUAUCUAGGUUCUUACAUGGCUCUCAUCACUGUAGGAUCUAAGCACCUAACAGUCAUCAUCAAUGGAUUUUUGAGGUUAGAAGGAGAAUCACUAGCAGCUUCCUACUGAAAUGUGGAACAGAUUCCAUGCACACUUGCUGAACUUGUUUACACCUGCCGACUGUACUUACAAAUUCUUGUGGACAUGGUUAUCUCUUUUGCAAAGCAC
Long non-coding RNA from Dermochelys coriacea (leatherback sea turtle), 391 nucleotides. RefSeq lists it as uncharacterized. The record is from RefSeq and is a predicted model, not a curated record. NCBI's taxonomy places the organism in Eukaryota, Metazoa, Chordata, Testudines, Dermochelyidae. The transcript is spliced from 3 exons.